ACGACGAUGGCGGACGCGACUAGCGCGCGGUCGUCCGGUGGCCGCGAGCAGGUAUCGGAGCGUACGCGCGCUCAAUGCGCAUUCGACGUU
Molecule: transfer RNA, 90 nt
Filed under: Burkholderia anthina
Lineage: Bacteria; Pseudomonadati; Pseudomonadota; Betaproteobacteria; Burkholderiales; Burkholderiaceae
Description: tRNA-Arg
Source: RNAcentral